GAAUGUUUCAGCUAUUUUAAAAUUUGUCUGUCAGGCUUUCUGGCUGUUGUCUGAAGCCCCU
This 61-nucleotide small nuclear RNA is filed under the name Marmota monax (woodchuck). Its description in RNAcentral is "U7 small nuclear RNA". It matches the Rfam family "U7 small nuclear RNA". From Rfam's summary of the family: Animal histone pre-mRNAs are spliced by a different mechanism than nuclear pre-mRNAs and self-splicing introns. Lineage: Eukaryota; Metazoa; Chordata; Mammalia; Rodentia; Sciuridae. The record is from Rfam by way of RNAcentral.